UACGUAGGGUGCGAGCGUUAAUCGGAAUUACUGGGCGUAAAGGGCGCGUAGGCGGCUGAUCAAGUCAGGUGUGAAAGCCCACGGCUUAACCGUGUGAAGUGCAUCUGAAACUGGUCGGCUUGAGUAUCGGAGAGGAAAGUGGAAUUCCCGGUGUAGAGGUGAAAUUCGUAGAUAUCGGGAGGAAUACCGGUGGCGAAGGCGGCUUCCUGGCAUGUAACUGACACUCAUGUUCGAAAGCGUGGGUAGCAAACAGGAUUAG
Molecule: ribosomal RNA, 259 nt
Filed under: uncultured bacterium
Lineage: Bacteria
Description: partial 16S ribosomal RNA
Rfam family: Bacterial small subunit ribosomal RNA
Source: RNAcentral